RNA transcript from Biomphalaria glabrata, 3111 nucleotides. RefSeq lists it as uncharacterized. The transcript has 17 exons. Lineage: Eukaryota; Metazoa; Mollusca; Gastropoda; Planorbidae. The record is from RefSeq and is a predicted model, not a curated record.
GACGGAAAACUUCUGACUAUUAUGGGGAAAAAAGUUUUUUUUUGGUCUACGAAGUUACUAGAUCUAUAUAACAGUUUGAUAACCACUGCGUAUUUACCCCGUUUAGAUUUAGCUAAUUAACAAAUUAGCAUCGAAGCUCGUGCUAACCUGGACAGCUUCCGUUUGCCGGUGAUUGUUUAUCGAAACAUUGAAUGCACCUUGUGCGAGUGUCUGGCUAUAGAAUAUCAACACCAACACAUACUGUCACAUAGUGACAUAGCAGAUGUUCCUUCAGAGGCGAAAUCUCUGCAAGAUGACGGGGAUGGCAGUGAACAGUUUUUCAGAUAUCCCUUAGCGGAAAUGCCAAAAGUAAGCUGACAGACAAUCAAGGAUUGAAAUCACUGAAUCCAAAUUUAGUUGCAGCCAAAGUGAGCGAAAGUAUGAAAAAUGUUAUGAAUCAAGAAAGACCUUCAGUUAAUACCAAGGAAGUGAUUACAGUUAACACAAGUCUGGACCUGGACACAUUCUCAAAGCUCUUACCUUUCUUGCGAUGUUACUUUGUGAAUUCUCCGGUGAAUGAAGAAAACAAACUAAAUGUGGAGGACCAAGCCUCAAAAACUACUAGACUUAUCAAGACUACAAAUCCAAUUUAUUCAACUAAUGCUGAUGCCUCAAACACAACCAGACUUAACGAGACCACUGACCCAACCUAUUCAACUAAUGCUGAUGGCUCAAUGCAAAAAAAAAAUCCUAAUGGUCAUUUCAAUUUGCUCAACUUUCUUGAUUGCUGUCGCAUUGGCUCCUCAACAGCUGUUCAAUUUAGUAUUCAAAGCAAUGCUGUGGUCUGCACCUCCAAUGCUGCUGAAGAAAUAGAGAUUGCGAACAGUACAGAAGAAAACCAUGUUUAUGACUCAGUAAUAUAUACAGGAUAUCAGACCUUCCAGCCCAAGACUUCAGACGACCUAACUGAAACGAUUAAUUCAAAUGCUACAAGUAUUUCUGACCUAAGUAUCCAGCCUGAAACUUCGGAGAGCCUAACUGAAAGCAUCCCAACCAGUAUUGCUGACCAAACUCCCAAGACUACAGAGGGCCUAACUAUAACUAUUAAUGGAACCUCCACCCGUAUUGCUGACCAAACUGAAACAGAUCCAGUUUAUAUUAAUAUGGCUUGCCAAACUAUCCAGCCCAAAUCUUCAGAGUGCCUUAUUGAAAGCAUCUAUAAAAUACCUACAAACAAUGCUGUCCGAAUUUUCCAGCCCAAGACUUCAGAGAGUCAAACUGCAACUGUUAGUUGAACCUCUACCUGUGUUGCUGACCAAACUCUUAAUGGUUCCAAAUGCCCAACUGAAACUGAUCCAGUUUAUAUUAAUAUGGCUUGCCAAACUACUGUCAAUGAAAGGAAUAAAUGAAAACAUUUGAGCAGCCUUAAAUAUGCUGAAAUUUUAUUCUACAAAAAUGUAACUUCCUUCAGAAUGAAAAAAAAAACAAGUUUUGGGCAAUUAUAUGGAAAAAAAAACAAGUUUGGGACAAUUUGAAAAAUAUCUGAUUCAGGUCUUUUUGAAUGAUUGUUGUCUUUUUUUAAUAUUAAAAUAUUUUUUUUUUGUGUUUUAGAUCUAUAUGUUAUCACUGUAUAAUUGAGUUGUUUAAUUUCAUAUGCAUAAGUCUUGUUAAGUUGUUUAGUAUUUCAUAGAGAUAUUUCCUUUUGAUACCAUCAUAAGCGAUUUAAGUUGAUGUACUAGUACAUUGUUUUCUUGACAUUUUUUUUAGUUUGUAUUUAUGUUAUGAGUGCUGCUUUCAAUCUGUUAGUAUUACUUCUUCCAAAAUUCUUGAUAUUGGUUAGUCUAAUUGUGAAUUCAGGUUUUUUCCUCCAUUUUUAGUUGCUCUGUUGUAAUUUUGGUCCUCUCCUGGUGCUUCGUAAUUUUUUAUUUCUGAUGUUUAAAUUAGAGUUGGUGAGUUUAUAGUGUUGGUAGGUUUAUAGUGUUGGUGGCUGUUCAUAUUUUCCUUUGUCUCCAUCUUGUUUUAUUUAGGAACUCCUCAAAGUAUUCAGCCCAUUUGUCAAUGACCCUUCUGUUUUUUUUUUGUGACGAGGACACCAUUAUUGUUCUCAUACAUGUGUGAUCUUGCUUGAAAUCCAUUCUUGUCAUCCCUUAUUUUCAUGCCCAUUCCUCUCGCAUCAAGGUUCUCAAUGAGUGCUCUUUGUUUUUUUUUUAUUGCCUCAUUUUUAUGCUUUCUGACAGAUUUUGUAACCCUUCGCCUUGCUUUCUUGUACUUCUUUCUGGUUUCUUUCUUUAGCAUUAUUUGUCUGUUCAAUAUGCCUGCAUUCUGUAUGUCAGACUCUCCUUUUCUUUUGCUUAAAUCCAACCAUGUCAUCUGCUUUACUUUUAAUAGCAUGUUGUUGUUUUUGCAUUGCUCAUUUGUUAUAAUUAGGAUUACCCACAGGCUAUGUCUGUUGUUGUGCUUCAACAAUUUAUCUUUUGGUCUGUGAAUUCUAGUAUAUGCUUCAUUUAAUUGGAGUGGCCAGUUUUAAAUUCCUUUGCAUACACACUUCUGGCCUGUGAACUGUUCUCAUGUAACAUUUUGACCCAAUAUCCCCCAUCCAAUUUCAAUACUCUUCUAAGAUAUUACUUUGAAUUAGAGCGGAUCACUUAUAUUGACUUUCCAUACACAAACACAUCCUUCUGGCCGUUUUUUUUUUUUAACCACCACCCCAACACACAAAAUAAAAUAUCUAUAUCUGCUUUUUCUUUUUAAAACAUUUUACACACAUAAAACAAAAUUUGUGUCCUAGCUUUGAUAGAAAAAAAAAGAUUGUUUUCAUAUAAUGUCUACAAAAACAAGUCAGGGGCCACAUACUGCCAUUGAAAUUUACUUUCAAAAGGAGUUUUUUUUUAAAAUGGUGAUUAAAACAGAAAGAAGAAUAAAAUUGUCUUUUUGUUAUAGCAACUUAAAGAUAAAAUUGGGAAUGAAACAUCAUUUUGGGAAGUUUUAAUUGCUUUAGUUUCCAUUUGUGAACUGGCUUAGUUGUUCUAGAGCAGGGGUUCUCAACUUGUGGGUCGCAACCCCCUUGGGUGUCGCCUAAGACCAUCGAAAAUAUGGAUUGUUUUUGUCUAUUCUUCUUUUGCUGUGUGUGUG